GCGCCGGCUUAACACAUGCAAGUCGAGCGGAUGAAGGGAGCUUGCUCCUGGAUUCAGCGGCGGACGGGUGAGUAAUGCCUAGGAAUCUGCCUGGUAGUGGGGGAUAACGUCCGGAAACGGGCGCUAAUACCGCAUACGUCCUGAGGGAGAAAGUGGGGGAUCUUCGGACCUCACGCUAUCAGAUGAGCCUAGGUCGGAUUAGCUAGUUGGUGGGGUAAAGGCCUACCAAGGCGACGAUCCGUAACUGGUCUGAGAGGAUGAUCAGUCACACUGGAACUGAGACACGGUCCAGACUCCUACGGGAGGCAGCAGUGGGGAAUAUUGGACAAUGGGCGAAAGCCUGAUCCAGCCAUGCCGCGUGUGUGAAGAAGGUCUUCGGAUUGUAAAGCACUUUAAGUUGGGAGGAAGGGCAGUAAGUUAAUACCUUGCUGUUUUGACGUUACCAACAGAAUAAGCACCGGCUAACUUCGUGCCAGCAGCCGCGGUAAUACGAAGGGUGCAAGCGUUAAUCGGAAUUACUGGGCGUAAAGCGCGCGUAGGUGGUUCAGCAAGUUGGAUGUGAAAUCCCCGGGCUCAACCUGGGAACUGCAUCCAAAACUACUGAGCUAGAGUACGGUAGAGGGUGGUGGAAUUUCCUGUGUAGCGGUGAAAUGCGUAGAUAUAGGAAGGAACACCAGUGGCGAAGGCGACCACCUGGACUGAUACUGACACUGAGGUGCGAAAGCGUGGGGAGCAAACAGGAUUAGAUACCCUGGUAGUCCACGCCGUAAACGAUGUCGACUAGCCGUUGGGAUCCUUGAGAUUCUUAGUGGCGCAGCUAACGCGAUAAGUCGACCGCCUGGGGAGUACGGCCGCAAGGUUAAAACUCAUAUGAAUUGACGGGGGCCCCGCACAGCGGUGGAGCUAUGUGAUAUUUCGGAAGCACGCGAAGACUUACUGGCCUUGACAUGCUUGAGACUUCCAGAGAUGGAAUGAUG
Molecule: ribosomal RNA, 977 nt
Filed under: Pseudomonas aeruginosa
Lineage: Bacteria; Pseudomonadati; Pseudomonadota; Gammaproteobacteria; Pseudomonadales; Pseudomonadaceae
Description: bacterial SSU rRNA
Rfam family: Bacterial small subunit ribosomal RNA
Source: RNAcentral